RNAcentral lists this transfer RNA (85 nucleotides) under Candidatus Abyssobacteria bacterium SURF_17. Its description in RNAcentral is "Candidatus Abyssubacteria bacterium SURF_17 tRNA-Leu". It matches the Rfam family "tRNA". Rfam says of the family: Transfer RNA (tRNA) molecules are approximately 80 nucleotides in length. Their secondary structure includes four short double-helical elements and three loops (D, anti-codon, and T loops). RNAcentral also lists the same sequence under 1 other name. Lineage: Bacteria; Pseudomonadati; Candidatus Hydrogenedentota; Candidatus Abyssobacteria. The record is from RNAcentral.
GCGGAAGUGGUGGAAUUGGCAGACGCGCUGGAUUCAGGGUCCAGUGGGAUUAGAUCCCGUGGGGGUUCAAGUCCCCCCUUCCGCA